GUUUCUCAUGGUAAAACAGAAGAUUCCAUCAUUAGAAAGUUAAUAGCAAAGUAGUACAAGAUAAAAGUCAGACAUGGCAAUGAAGAAAGGCCUGAGUACCUAUGCACAGGCUAGGACUGAGCACCAACCAGUCUUUACACAUUUACAGCUUGACAACAGUUUCUCUGAGGAGGAGGAGGAGGAGGAAAAAGAUAAUGAAAAUUCACAGACUGCUGCUUACAUAAUACAGUGAAAUCCUGGCCUUACUGAAGUCAAUGGUAAAACUCUAACUUCAAUGGCACCAGGAUUUAACUUUUGUACCUAUUGUAUUGGUAGUUCAACCAGUAUUUGUGACGGUGCCCCCCAUAAGGCUUUAUGGAAUAUGCUUAUGAUUGUAUAUGUGACAUAACUAGAAUAUGUUUUAGGCUACAUAUGCCAUGUAACAUUUCUG
Molecule: long non-coding RNA, 430 nt
Organism: Mauremys mutica (yellowpond turtle)
Lineage: Eukaryota; Metazoa; Chordata; Testudines; Geoemydidae
Exons: 3
Source: RefSeq, a predicted model, not a curated record